CAGGCCAGGAAUGUCCCUCCUCUCCAGUCGAGGGACAGGCUAGUUCCAGCUGAGACACACGCUCCCCCCAGCCCCCAUGACAGAGCAAGGACAGGUACUAAUAAAUGAGAAGAACUUUGGGAGCCUCUGUGUGUCCUCGGUGGGCAACGACUGGGAUCCUUGGGGGUGCCCCUCCUCCAUCAAACUGGGCGGGGGUGUCAGGAUCACCUGAAAAGGCGGCCAAGGGUGACCCAAGCCCUGAUCCCCUGUGGGACAACGAGGAGCUUAACUAGCCCCGGGCUGCAUGAAAGAGGAAGGGAGGCCAGAGAACAAAGCUGUGCCAAUUUGCUCUUUGGGGCAUUGUGCAAACUGGCCCCUUUCCCAGCGUAUCACUCUCCCAUUGAACAAGGUCAAGCGCCGCCACAGUCCUUCCGCAGCCCUGAUGGGUUUUCAGGAGCUGGUGAAUGGCGUGCAAAUUAGCCAAGUCCUCGGGAGCCUCGUUACUGUCACUCCCAAACCGAAGCUCCAGAGGCAACGUGAGGAUUAAUCAAUCCAGAAAGCUCGCCCAUUAUCAAAGCAAGGUGGAAGACACACCUACACUUCGACUGACAGUUCAACCCUGACACGUGUCAACGUAUGGCAGAACACCUCGAGGUUGGCAGCCCUGAACCCACACCAGCAAGUGACCAGUGAGCAAGCAAACAUGGUGUCUAGUGAGCAGUUACGGCAUAUACAGUCCAUGAGGAACUGGAGAAACACCGCGUUAAGGGAUUCGGAAUAAUCUCUGAAAUGAACAGACAGGCCAAUAUCCAGCGACUCUAUAAAUAUAAAUCUAAUGAGUUCGUAGCUAAAGAAUGAGUCAGCAAAUUUAUCUACUAAAUAAAGAUGAGCGAGUGAGUAAAUAUUUAAAGAACGACAGUAAUUUGUGUCAUUAACCAACACGCACAGGGUGGGCCACUUAGCAAAUAUCUAUACAAGCGAAUGCACAGAUAUCAAAUGAAUAAACAAACACAUGAAAAUGCAAA
Molecule: long non-coding RNA, 1004 nt
Organism: Rattus norvegicus (Norway rat)
Lineage: Eukaryota; Metazoa; Chordata; Mammalia; Rodentia; Muridae
Source: RefSeq, a predicted model, not a curated record